GCGGCGGUGCGCGCCUCCGCCGCGGCGGCGAUCCGGGCUUGCCGCCUUGCUUGAGCACAAUGUGUGUUCCACAGGGAUGAGCCCGUGAGCCUCCAGCCAGCUGAGAGGCUCAGGACUGGUUUCCCUUGAGAUUCCUGGGCUUUCCAUGAGAUCUGGCAGGGACAGCAAGACUGAGGGUGAGGAGGAAGCUCACAGAAAUUCCCAGGUUGGUGCUGCUGUGGGGGAGAGGAAGGAAUCAAAGAUAACCAGCAGAAUUUUAACCUCCAGAGACUGAUAGACUAAUGGUUGUGCUAGUACAAGUAGGGAAGUCAAGGUACUUACGCUGUGGGCUCUCGCGUCUGGUGUGUACGGCAGCCAACCGGAGAAGGGCGGUAUCCUGCCAGCUGUGGCGUUUGGAACCAUAGAAAAAAAUGAAGGACACUGGAGAAGAGAUGAUGUGAAGUGGCAAAGCGUUGGCAAACACGUAAUCUCGAAGACGCCAUGGAGAAAAGGAGCAUGGGCCCUCUCUCUGAGACCUUCUGAAACCCAGAGCCGUGUGCAGAGACUAGCCAGGAAGGAGGUGACAUGAAGGAAAUUCAGGUUGCAAUGAAUUGUGUCAGAUGGAGAGUGUCUGAGACCAGCUUAAACUCUUAGUUACUCUGCUUAUAACAGCAGGAAGUUCCAGUGGACUCCAUAGAAGAAGGAAAUCAGGGACAGAGGAACAUGGGAUGGAGAAGGUGGGCUCCUCCAGUGGGCUGUUGGUCCAGAAGAGGGCGUUUAACGGGGAGGAGGAUGGGCUGCUGAAGAGAUAGGAUGGAAUCACUGAAAGCCAUAGGCAGAUGCCCAAAGCCACCCCAGAGGGGACUGGUCAGGGAAGAAGCAAAGGAAAAAGUUCUUCUGAAAAUUGCUGGGAGGGACGCAUCUGAGCUGGAGGCUGGUUGUCUCAGCGAGCCAGCCAAAGGUUGGUCCAGCACGUGUGCACAGCCCCACUCCCCUCCUUCUUUCUCCCCAAGUGAUAAUCAGCUCUUUCGGUUGCCAACCCAACUUACCUUUUUCUUCUCUGAGCUGUGGAAAUUCAAGGAAUCUUAUCAGCCAACCCCUGUCCUGUGAUUAUGGCAUUACAUCCUUGUGUCCCACUGUUUUAAAAAACCUUUUCCAACAUCCCAUUCUCCCCUCACCCCCGACUCUAGUCCUAGGCAAUUCUCCACAGGAUAAAAUAUUCUAAAUAAUUUACAGUAUCAUAUUCCAAGCACUGAAUAGAUUUUUUCCACCAAAACUGAAAGCUAUUAUUUAAGUAACUGCUGGAUGUUGGAAUCUCAAACCACAUGGGACUGAGAGCCAAGGGUUCAAGAUUGUUAUGAUCUUCCUUUGUGCCCAAGUGCCACAGAACUCAGACAUCAAGGACUGAAGAAGGAAAACACUUUCUUUUCUUCCUUUUAUAGCAUAAACAUGGUCAAGGCUCACAAG
Long non-coding RNA from Neogale vison (American mink), 1446 nucleotides. RefSeq lists it as uncharacterized. The transcript is spliced from 4 exons. The record is from RefSeq and is a predicted model, not a curated record. NCBI's taxonomy places the organism in Eukaryota, Metazoa, Chordata, Mammalia, Carnivora, Mustelidae.